Molecule: long non-coding RNA, 116 nt
Organism: Lynx canadensis (Canada lynx)
Lineage: Eukaryota; Metazoa; Chordata; Mammalia; Carnivora; Felidae
Exons: 3
Source: RefSeq, a predicted model, not a curated record
GGUCAGGUCAUGAUCUCACAGUUCAUGAGUUUGAGCCCCACAUCGGGCUCUAGGCUAAGGGCAUGGAGCCUGCUUGGGAUUCUCUCUCUCCCUCUCUCUCUCUGCCUCUCCCCUCC